This is a long non-coding RNA of Oncorhynchus nerka (sockeye salmon), 321 nucleotides long. RefSeq lists it as uncharacterized. The transcript is spliced from 3 exons. Lineage: Eukaryota; Metazoa; Chordata; Actinopteri; Salmoniformes; Salmonidae. The record is from RefSeq and is a predicted model, not a curated record.
UCUUUCCUCUUUUCUCCUCCUCUCUCUUUGCCGCUUUCACAGCCUAGUUUUCUUUUUUUCUCAAUCUUGUGUGCAGGUUGUAUCUGACAGAGAGAGGACCACCGCCACGCUCCAGCCCCGCUCCAACCCACUGGUUUGUUAGUAUCAACAGUGAGUGAAUCACACAGCUUUGGCCCGUCCGGCGUUACCUGUACAUGGAGACCCCCAGCUGGGCAGGAAACACGUUGUGUAAAUCAGGAAGUAUUGCUGUCUUCGGGAACGUGGUGUACAGCGGGCUGCUCAACGAGCACCUCUGGCAUUUAGGAGUUCCCCUCUUCACGA